This 1599-nucleotide long non-coding RNA is filed under the name Cyanistes caeruleus (blue tit). RNAcentral describes it as "lncRNA (ENSCCEG00000005083.1)". The record is from RNAcentral. Lineage: Eukaryota; Metazoa; Chordata; Aves; Passeriformes; Paridae.
AUGUCCCAAAAUGUCCCCAAAUUGUUCCCAAAUGUCCCAAAUUGUCCCAAAAUCUCCCCAAAAUGUCCCAAAUGUCCCCAAAUGCCCCAAAUGCCCCAAAAUGCCCUAAAAUUGUCCCCAGAAGGUCCCAAAUUGUCCCCAAAUGGCCCCAAAAUGCCCCAAAAUGUCCCAAAAUUGUCCCAAAAGUCUCUAAAAUGUCACAAAAUGUCCCCAAAAUGUCCCCAAAUGCCAAAAAAUUGUCCCCAGAGGGUCCCAAAUUGUCCCCAAAUGGCCCCAAAAUGUCCCCAAAUGUCCCCAGAGGGUCCCAAAAUGUCCCAAAAACGUCCCCAAAUGUCCCAAAAUGUCCCCAAAUGUCCCCAAAAUGUCCCCAAAUGUCCCCAAAUUGUCCCCAGAGGGUCCCAAAAUGUCCCCAAAUGUCCCCAAAAUGUCCCCAGAAGGUCCCAAAUGUCCCAAAAUUGUCCCCAAAUGUCCCCAAAUGUCCCCAAAUGGCCCAAAUGUCCCAAAAUUCCCUCAAAAUGUCCCCAAAUGCCCCAAAUGUCCCAAAAAUGUCCCAAAAUGUCCCCAGAAGGUCCCAAAUUCCCAAAUGUCCCAAAAAUGUCCCAAAAUGUCCCCAGAAGGUCCCAAAUUCCCUCAAAAUGUCCCCAAAUGUCCCAAAAUUGUCCCAAAAUUGUCCCAAAAGUCUCUAAAAUGUCACAAAAUGUCCCCAAAAUGUCCCCAAAUGCCCCAAAAUUGUCCCCAGAGGGUCCCAAAUUGUUCCCAAAUGGCCCCAAAAUGCCCCAAAAUGUCCCCAAAUGUCCCCAAAAAUGUCCCAAAAUUGUCCCCAGAAGGUCCCAAAUUGUCCCCAAAUGUCCCCAAAAUGUCCCCAAAUGCCCCAAAAUGUCCCAAAUUGUCCCCAAAAAGUCCCAGAAGGUCCCAAAUGUCCCAAAAAUGUCCCCAAAUUGUCCCCAAAUGGUCCCAAAUGUCCCAAAAUUCCCUCAAAAUGUCCCCAAAUGUCCCCAAAAAUGUCCCAAAAUUGUCCCAAAAUUGUCCCCAGAGGGUCCCAAAUUGUUCCCAAAUGUCCCCAAAAUGUCCCCAAAUUGUCCCAAAAUGACCCAAAUGUCCCUAAAAUGUCCCCAAAUGCCCCAAAUGUCCCAAAAAUGUCCCCAAAAUUGUCCCCAGAAGGUCCCAAAUUCCCUCAAAAUGUCCCCAAAUGUCCCAAAAUUGUCCCAAAAGUCUCUAAAAUGUCACAAAAUGUCCCCAGAAUGUCCCCAAAUGUCCCCAAAUGCCCCAAAAUUGUCCCCAGAGGGUCCCAAAUUGUUCCCAAAUGUCCCCAAAAUGCCCCAAAUGUCCCGAAAAUGUCCCCAAAAUGUCCCCAAAUGUCCCCAAAAAUGUCCCAAAAUUGUCCCCAGAGGGUCCCAAAAUGUCCCAAAAAUGUCCCCAAAUGUCCCAAAAUGUCCCAAAAUGUCCCCAAAAUGUCCCCAAAAUGUCCCCAAAUGUCCCCAAAUGCCCCAAAAUUGUCCCCAGAAGGUCCCAAAUUGUCCCCAAAUGACCCCAAAAUGUCCCCAAAUGUCCCCAGAUGUCCCCAGAAGGUCCCAAAUGUCCCCAAAUGUCCCUAAAAUG